RNAcentral lists this ribosomal RNA (468 nucleotides) under uncultured bacterium. Its description in RNAcentral is "partial 16S ribosomal RNA". It matches the Rfam family "Bacterial small subunit ribosomal RNA", at positions 28 to 507 of the family's 1533-position model. The record is from RNAcentral.
GACGAACGCUGGCGGCGUGCUUAACACAUGCAAGUCGAACGGAAAGGCCCUGCUUUUGUGGGGUGCUCGAGUGGCGAACGGGUGAGUAACACGUGAGUAACCUGCCCUUGACUUUGGGAUAACUUCAGGAAAUUGGGGCUAAUACCGGAUAGGAGCUCCUGCUGCUUGGUGGGGGUUGGAAAGUUUCGGCGGUUGGGGAUGGACUGGCGGCUUACUAGCCGGUUGGUGGGUUAGUGGCUUACCAAGGCUUCGACGGGUAGCCGGCCUGAGAGGGUGACCGGCCACAUUGGGACUGAGAUACGGCCCAGACUCCUACGGGAGGCAGCAGUGGGGAAUAUUGCACAAUGGGCGGAAGCCUGAUGCAGCAACGCCGCGUGCGGGAUGACGGCCUUCGGGUUGUAAACCGCUUUCGCCUGUGACGAAGCGUGAGUGACGGUAAUGGGUAAAGAAGCACCGGCUAACUACGUG